UACGGAGGGUGCAAACGUUGCUCGGAAUCAUUGGGCGUAAAGCGCACGUAGGCGGUCCCAUAAGUCGGGUGUGAAAGCCCUCGGCUCAACCGAGGAAGUGCAUUCGAAACUGUGGGACUCGAGUACUGGAGAGGAUGGAGGAAUUCCCGGUGUAGAGGUGAAAUUCGUAGAUAUCGGGAGGAGCACCAGCGGCGAAGGCGGCCAUCUGGACAGAUACUGACGCUGAGGUGCGAAAGCGUGGGGAGCAAACAGG
RNAcentral lists this ribosomal RNA (253 nucleotides) under uncultured Kofleria sp. Its description in RNAcentral is "partial 16S ribosomal RNA". It matches the Rfam family "Bacterial small subunit ribosomal RNA", at positions 524 to 776 of the family's 1533-position model. The record is from RNAcentral. Lineage: Bacteria; Pseudomonadati; Myxococcota; Haliangiales; Kofleriaceae.